RNAcentral lists this non-coding RNA (30 nucleotides) under Rattus norvegicus (Norway rat). Lineage: Eukaryota; Metazoa; Chordata; Mammalia; Rodentia; Muridae. The record is from RNAcentral.
UAGAUUAACUAUGCAAGAAGUGAGGGAGAG